Molecule: non-coding RNA, 195 nt
Organism: Desulfosporosinus sp.
Lineage: Bacteria; Bacillati; Bacillota; Clostridia; Eubacteriales; Desulfitobacteriaceae
Source: Rfam
UAUAAAUGUUGAAUAUAUCAUCACCUCACCUUUUUAACUUUUGGUAAUACUCCGAUAGUCGUAUAUAUAGUACCGAAACGUCUAGAGCUCGGUGAAGUCGCGUGAGAACAACCAUUACCAUAGGGAAUAUUAACCUUUGGGAAAUCUGUCCAGAGGUUGAUGGUGUAGUCCAAUAAAAAUACGGAAGUCUAUAAA